GACGAACGCUGGCGGCGUGCUUAACACAUGCAAGUCGAACGGAAAGGCCCUGCUUUUGUGGGGUGCUCGAGUGGCGAACGGGUGAGUAACACGUGAGUAACCUGCCCUUGACUUUGGGAUAACUUCAGGAAACUUGGGCUAAUACCGGAUAGGAGCUCCUGCUGCAUGGUGGGGGUUGGAAAGUUUCGGCGGUUGGGGAUGGUCUCGCGGCUUAUCAGCUUGUUGGUGGGGUAGUGGCUUACCAAGGCUUUGACGGGUAGCCGGCCUGAGAGGGUGACCGGCCACAUUGGGACGGAGAUACGGCCCAGACUCCUACGGGAGGCAGCAGUGGGGAAUAUUGCACAAUGGGCGGAAGCCUGAUGCAGCAACGCCGCGUGCGGGAUGACGGCCUUCGGGUUGUAAACCGCUUUCGCCUGUGACGAAGCGUGAGUGACGGUAAUGGGUAAAGAAGCACCGGCUAACUACGUG
RNAcentral lists this ribosomal RNA (468 nucleotides) under uncultured bacterium. RNAcentral describes it as "partial 16S ribosomal RNA". It matches the Rfam family "Bacterial small subunit ribosomal RNA", at positions 28 to 507 of the family's 1533-position model. The record is from RNAcentral.